This 462-nucleotide ribosomal RNA is filed under the name uncultured bacterium. RNAcentral's name for it is "partial 16S ribosomal RNA". It matches the Rfam family "Bacterial small subunit ribosomal RNA", at positions 28 to 507 of the family's 1533-position model. The record is from RNAcentral.
GACGAACGCUGGCGGCGUGCUUAACACAUGCAAGUCGAACGGAAAGGCCCUUCGGGGUCCUCGAGUGGCGAACGGGUGAGUAACACGUGGGUGAUCUGCCCUGCACUUUGGGAUAAGCCUGGGAAACUGGGUCUAAUACCGAAUAGGACCGCGCGCUUCAUGGUGUGUGGUGGCAAGCUUUUGCGGUGUGGGAUGGGCCCGCGGCCUAUCAGCUUGUUGGUGGGGUAAUGGCCUACCAAGGCGACGACGGGUAGCCGGCCUGAGAGGGUGACCGGCCACACUGGGACUGAGAUACGGCCCAGACUCCUACGGGAGGCAGCAGUGGGGAAUAUUGCACAAUGGGCGCAAGCCUGAUGCAGCGACGCCGCGUGAGGGAUGACGGCCUUCGGGUUGUAAACCUCUUUCACCAGGGACGAAGCGCAAGUGACGGUACCUGGAGAAGAAGCACCGGCCAACUACGUG